AUGGGGAAGAGCGACAGCUCAGUGGUAGAGCAUUUGUUUUGCAUGCAGAAAGUCACAGGUUCAAUCCUCGGUAUCUCUAUG
This is a non-coding RNA of Podarcis lilfordi (Lilford's wall lizard), 81 nucleotides long. The record is from the annotation of a GenBank genome assembly. NCBI's taxonomy places the organism in Eukaryota, Metazoa, Chordata, Lepidosauria, Squamata, Lacertidae.